GCGGGGGUACCGAAGUGGUCAAACGGGCCGGGUUUAGGCCCCGGGGCUUAGUGCCUGCCUAGGUUCGAAUCCUAGUCCCCGCA
RNAcentral lists this transfer RNA (83 nucleotides) under Candidatus Pacearchaeota archaeon CG1_02_35_32. RNAcentral's name for it is "tRNA-Leu". It matches the Rfam family "tRNA". From Rfam's summary of the family: Transfer RNA (tRNA) molecules are approximately 80 nucleotides in length. Their secondary structure includes four short double-helical elements and three loops (D, anti-codon, and T loops). Lineage: Archaea; Nanobdellati. RNAcentral also lists the same sequence under 6 other names. The record is from RNAcentral.